Molecule: transfer RNA, 85 nt
Filed under: Camelus bactrianus (Bactrian camel)
Lineage: Eukaryota; Metazoa; Chordata; Mammalia; Artiodactyla; Camelidae
Also listed under: 1 other name
Rfam family: tRNA
About the family: Transfer RNA (tRNA) molecules are approximately 80 nucleotides in length.
Source: Rfam by way of RNAcentral
GGCUCGUUGGUCUAGGGGUAUGAUUCUCGCUUUGGGUGCGAAAGGUCCCGGGCUCAAGUCCCGGGUUCAAGUCCCGGAUGAGUCC